RNAcentral lists this ribosomal RNA (1474 nucleotides) under Enterococcus mundtii ATCC 882. Its description in RNAcentral is "bacterial SSU rRNA". It matches the Rfam family "Bacterial small subunit ribosomal RNA". The record is from RNAcentral. Lineage: Bacteria; Bacillati; Bacillota; Bacilli; Lactobacillales; Enterococcaceae.
GGAGCUUGCUCCACCGGGAAAAGAGGAGUGGCGAACGGGUGAGUAACACGUGGGUAACCUGCCCAUCAGAAGGGGAUAACACUUGGAAACAGGUGCUAAUACCGUAUAACAAUCGAAACCGCAUGGUUUCGUUUUGAAAGGCGCUUUACGGUGCCGCUGAUGGAUGGACCCGCGGUGCAUUAGCUAGUUGGUGAGGUAACGGCUCACCAAGGCCACGAUGCAUAGCCGACCUGAGAGGGUGAUCGGCCACAUUGGGACUGAGACACGGCCCAAACUCCUACGGGAGGCAGCAGUAGGGAAUCUUCGGCAAUGGACGAAAGUCUGACCGAGCAACGCCGCGUGAGUGAAGAAGGUUUUCGGAUCGUAAAACUCUGUUGUUAGAGAAGAACAAGGGUGAGAGUAACUGUUCACCCCUUGACGGUAUCUAACCAGAAAGCCACGGCUAACUACGUGCCAGCAGCCGCGGUAAUACGUAGGUGGCAAGCGUUGUCCGGAUUUAUUGGGCGUAAAGCGAGCGCAGGCGGUUUCUUAAGUCUGAUGUGAAAGCCCCCGGCUCAACCGGGGAGGGUCAUUGGAAACUGGGAGACUUGAGUGCAGAAGAGGAGAGUGGAAUUCCAUGUGUAGCGGUGAAAUGCGUAGAUAUAUGGAGGAACACCAGUGGCGAAGGCGGCUCUCUGGUCUGUAACUGACGCUGAGGCUCGAAAGCGUGGGGAGCAAACAGGAUUAGAUACCCUGGUAGUCCACGCCGUAAACGAUGAGUGCUAAGUGUUGGAGGGUUUCCGCCCUUCAGUGCUGCAGCUAACGCAUUAAGCACUCCGCCUGGGGAGUACGACCGCAAGGUUGAAACUCAAAGGAAUUGACGGGGGCCCGCACAAGCGGUGGAGCAUGUGGUUUAAUUCGAAGCAACGCGAAGAACCUUACCAGGUCUUGACAUCCUUUGACCACUCUAGAGAUAGAGCUUCCCCUUCGGGGGCAAAGUGACAGGUGGUGCAUGGUUGUCGUCAGCUCGUGUCGUGAGAUGUUGGGUUAAGUCCCGCAACGAGCGCAACCCUUAUUGUUAGUUGCCAUCAUUUAGUUGGGCACUCUAGCAAGACUGCCGGUGACAAACCGGAGGAAGGUGGGGAUGACGUCAAAUCAUCAUGCCCCUUAUGACCUGGGCUACACACGUGCUACAAUGGGAAGUACAACGAGUCGCGAAGUCGCGAGGCUAAGCUAAUCUCUUAAAGCUUCUCUCAGUUCGGAUUGUAGGCUGCAACUCGCCUACAUGAAGCCGGAAUCGCUAGUAAUCGCGGAUCAGCACGCCGCGGUGAAUACGUUCCCGGGCCUUGUACACACCGCCCGUCACACCACGAGAGUUUGUAACACCCGAAGUCGGUGAGGUAACCUUUUUGGAGCCAGCCGCCUAAGGUGGGAUAGAUGAUUGGGGUGAAGUCGUAACAAGGUAGCCGUAUCGGAAGGUGCGGCUGGAUCACCU